This 248-nucleotide ribosomal RNA is filed under the name uncultured bacterium. Its description in RNAcentral is "partial 16S ribosomal RNA". It matches the Rfam family "Bacterial small subunit ribosomal RNA", at positions 529 to 776 of the family's 1533-position model. The record is from RNAcentral.
AGGGGGCUAGCGUUGUUCGGAAUUACUGGGCGUAAAGCGCGCGUAGGCGGAUCUGCAAGUCGGGGGUGAAAUCCCGAGGCUCAACCUCGGAACUGCCUUCGAUACUGCGGGUCUCGAGUCCGGGAGAGGUGAGUGGAAUUCCUAGUGUAGAGGUGAAAUUCGUAGAUAUUAGGAAGAACACCAGUGGCGAAGGCGGCUCACUGGCCCGGUACUGACGCUGAGGCGCGAAAGCGUGGGGAGCAAACAGG